RNAcentral lists this long non-coding RNA (351 nucleotides) under Elaeis guineensis (African oil palm). RNAcentral's name for it is "long non-coding RNA (EGUI_LNC011834)". The record is from RNAcentral. Lineage: Eukaryota; Viridiplantae; Streptophyta; Magnoliopsida; Arecales; Arecaceae.
GCCUGAAGAAGUAUUUUAGCCAAGGCGAUUGAAGAUGAAUAAGAGGAUCUCCUUGGUGUUACUUGGCUCCUUAAAUCUAAGGGGUUCCAUUUCUUGGCUUCCCUUAUAUCAUGUUGGUCUUGAAUUGAAGUGAGGGUAGGUUGAGAGCAAUGGAGAAAAGAAAGGGGCCCUAGCAUAGGCCAAGCUCUCCUUGAGGUCCUGGAUCUCGGCAAGCUCCACCAUUGAGGGGGCAGCAUGGGUAGCGAAGACGACGCGACCCUAAAGGAAGAACGCAAGCAAGAAGGCAGAGGAUGAGGACACGUGGGAGGAAAGAAUGCCGAUGGAGUUGGAGAGGAGGGUGGUGCGACAUGU